Molecule: ribosomal RNA, 424 nt
Filed under: uncultured bacterium
Lineage: Bacteria
Description: bacterial SSU rRNA
Rfam family: Bacterial small subunit ribosomal RNA
Source: RNAcentral
GCCGUCGACCGGCGCACGGGUGAGUAACGCGUAUCCCAACCUGCCCAUCACUUGGGGAUAACCUUGCGAAAGUAAGACUAAUACCCAAUGACGUCUCUAGAAGACAUCUGAAAGAGAUUAAAGAUUUAUCGGUGAUGGAUGGGGAUGCGUCUGAUUAGCUUGUUGGCGGGGUAACGGCCCACCAAGGCGACGAUCAGUAGGGGUUCUGAGAGGAAAGGUCCCCCACAUUGGAACUGAGACACGGUCCAAACUCCUACGGGAGGCAGCAGUGAGGAAUAUUGGUCAAUGGACGAGAGUCUGAACCAGCCAAGUAGCGUGCAGGAAGACGGCCCUAUGGGUUGUAAACUGCUUUUAUAAGGGAAUAAAGUGAGUCUCGUGAGACUUUUUGCAUGUACCUUAUGAAUAAGGACCGGCUAAUUCCGUG